CUGCUAUCGGAUUGAUACUAAGCCAUGCGAGUCAUUGCAGUAAUGCAAGGCAGACGGCUCAGUAACGCGUAGUCAACCUACCCUAUGGACGGGAAUAACCUCGGGAAACUGAGUAUAAUGCCCGAUAGAACACUAUACCUGGAAUGGUUUGUGUUCCAAAUGAAUGUCGCCGUAGGAUGGGACUGCGGCCUAUCAGUUUGUUGGUGAGGUAAUGGCCCACCAAGACUAUUACAGGUACGGGCUCUGAGAGGAGUAGCCCGGAGAUGGGUACUGAGACACGGACCCAGGCCCUAUGGGGCGCAGCAGGCGAGAAAACUUUGCAAUGUGCGAAAGCACGACAAGGUUAAUCCGAGUGGUUUGUGCUAAACGAACCUUUUGACAGUCCUAGAAACACUGUUGAAUAAGGGGUGGGCAAGUUUCUGGUGUCAGCCGCCGCGGUAAAACCAGCACCUCAAGUGGUCAGGAUGAUUAUUGGGCCUAAAGCAUCCGUAGCCGGCUCUGUAAGUUUUCGGUUAAAUCUGUACGCUCAACGUACAGGCUGCCGGGAAUACUGCAGAGCUAGGGAGUGGGAGAGGUAGACGGUACUCGGUAGGAAGGGGUAAAAUCCUUUGAUCUAUUGAUGACCACCUGUGGCGAAGGCGGUCUACCAGAACACGUCCGACGGUGAGGGAUGAAAGCUGGGGGAGCAAACCGGAUUAGAUACCCGGGUAGUCCCAGCUGUAAACUAUGCAAACUCAGUGAUGCAUUGGCUUGUGGCCAAUGCAGUGCUGCAGGGAAGCCGUUAAGUUUGCCGCCUGGGAAGUACGUACGCAAGUAUGAAACUUAAAGGAAUUGGCGGGGGAGCACCACAAGGGGUGAAGCCUGCGG
RNAcentral lists this ribosomal RNA (867 nucleotides) under uncultured archaeon. Its description in RNAcentral is "bacterial SSU rRNA". It matches the Rfam family "Archaeal small subunit ribosomal RNA", at positions 27 to 900 of the family's 1478-position model. The record is from RNAcentral.